CAGUCGCCGCGGGAACACGGAGGGGGCUAGCGUUGUUCGGAAUUACUGGGCGUAAAGCGCACGUAGGCUGCUUUGUAAGUUAGAGGUGAAAGCCUGGUGCUCAACACCAGAACUGCCUUUAAGACUGCAGAGCUAGAACGUCGGAGAGGUGAGUGGAAUUCCGAGUGUAGAGGUGAAAUUCGUAGAUAUUCGGAAGAACACCAGUGGCGAAGGCGGCUCACUGGACGACUGUUGACGCUGAGGUGCGAAAGCGUGGGGAGCAAACAGGAUUAGAUACCCCUGUAGUCCCUGUCUCUUAUAC
RNAcentral lists this ribosomal RNA (301 nucleotides) under uncultured bacterium. RNAcentral describes it as "partial 16S ribosomal RNA". It matches the Rfam family "Bacterial small subunit ribosomal RNA", at positions 509 to 807 of the family's 1533-position model. The record is from RNAcentral.